UGCUGCUUCACUGCACUUUCCUCGCUGGUAGACCCAAGGCCACCUACAGCUCAGUGCCCAGUGCUACGAAGCAGCAGCUGCCCCAAGUGCCUCUCAAGUCCCUUCCCAAUGGAGUGGGUAAGCCUAAGAUGGACCCCAAACUUUCUGCCCAUCAGGUUCCAGAGGACUGACUUGCUGAGGUCCAGAUGCUACAGCCUGUCCCGAGGGACACUCCAGGAGAACAUCGCAUGAAGAUGAAGGCAGAGGUGACGGUGAUGCUUCUUCUACAAGCCAAGAGAUGCCAAAGACGCCAGGAGCCACCAGAAGCCAGGAGAGAGGCCUGGGACAAAUUCUCCCUCACAGCCUCGGAAGAAAUCAACCCUGCCGACACCUCGACCUUGGACUCCUGGCCUCCAGCACUGCGAGCAAGGCUGCCCAGCGUGUGGUACUUUGUUACGCAGCCCUGCCACGCAGACACAGGGUCUCACAGCACUCUGUCUGCACAGCUCGGGGUGGACAGCGCAUCACAGGGCUCCUGAUGUCAGUGCAAAGUGGCAGAAUUCUGCUGCAAGCUGUUCAGACGCCCAGUGAGAACAUGCAGGGCCAGCUCCGCAGGGUCAAGGAUGGAAUGAAUGGUCUGUUCAGCUCCCACAACUCCCCUGGCGAGCCCGUGACAUUGUGGCCUUCCUUGGCAGUACAUGAGAGCCUAGGGACGUGGCAGGGGCUUCCUUCAUUCCUUUCCUUUGCUGCUUCUCACACCUGUGUCCUUACUGGGUGGGGAUUCCUUUUCUCUCCUUUUCACCGCAUUUUUCCUGCUCCUCUCUGGCUUUUGGAGGCACUUGACUUUUCCUCACCUAAGCGCUUUCCCCGUUUGUUACAUCAGUAAAUUUUACUUAUAUAUCUCUUA
This is a long non-coding RNA of Lemur catta (Ring-tailed lemur), 886 nucleotides long. RefSeq lists it as uncharacterized. The transcript is spliced from 2 exons. NCBI's taxonomy places the organism in Eukaryota, Metazoa, Chordata, Mammalia, Primates, Lemuridae. The record is from RefSeq and is a predicted model, not a curated record.